GACGAACGCUGGCGGCGUGCUUAACACAUGCAAGUCGAACGGAAAGGCCCUGCUUUUGUGGGGUGCUCGAGUGGCGAACGGGUGAGUAACACGUGAGUAACCUGCCCUUGACUUUGGUAUAACUUCAGGAAACUGGGGCUAAUACCGGAUAGGAGCUCCUGCUGCAUGGUGGGGGUUGGAAAGUUUCGGCGGUUGGGGAUGGACUCGCGGCUUAUCAGCUUGUUGGUGGGGUAGUGGCUUACCAAGGCUUUGACGGGUAGCCGGCCUGAGAGGGUGACCGGACACAUUGGGACUGAGAUACGGCCCAGACUCAUACGGGAGGCAGCAGUGGGGAAUAUUGCACAAUGGGCGGAAGCCUGAUGCAGCAACGCCGCGUGCGGGAUGACGGCCUUCGGGUUGUAAACCGCUUUCGCCUGUGACGAAGCGUGAGUGACGGUAAUGGGUAAAGAAGCACCGGCUAACUACGUG
This 468-nucleotide ribosomal RNA is filed under the name uncultured bacterium. RNAcentral's name for it is "partial 16S ribosomal RNA". It matches the Rfam family "Bacterial small subunit ribosomal RNA", at positions 28 to 507 of the family's 1533-position model. The record is from RNAcentral.